ACAUUGAAUGAUAUCAACUACAGGCUUGUAUGUUGUUCAUCGAUUUUUUUAUUUUUUCAUCAACUUGCUUCAUGGUCAAGUCAUCGUACUAGUAGAUAGAGACAGAGAGGGACUACAACUAGAAGUAGAGAAUUAAAAGGA
This 141-nucleotide non-coding RNA is filed under the name uncultured Amoebophrya. Lineage: Eukaryota; Dinophyceae; Syndiniales. The record is from RNAcentral.